CGCACGGGUGAGUAACACGUAUCCAACCUGCCGUCUACUCUUGGCCAGCCUUCUGAAAGGAAGAUUAAUCCAGGAUGGCAUCAUGAGUUCACAUGUCCGCAUGAUUAAAGGUAUUUUCCGGUAGACGAUGGGGAUGCGUUCCAUUAGAUAGUUGGCGGGGUAACGGCCCACCUAGUCAACGAUGGAUAGGGGUUCUGAGAGGAAGGUCCCCCACAUUGGAACUGAGACACGGUCCAA
Molecule: ribosomal RNA, 237 nt
Filed under: uncultured bacterium
Lineage: Bacteria
Description: partial 16S ribosomal RNA
Rfam family: Bacterial small subunit ribosomal RNA
Source: RNAcentral